This 426-nucleotide ribosomal RNA is filed under the name uncultured bacterium. RNAcentral's name for it is "bacterial SSU rRNA". It matches the Rfam family "Bacterial small subunit ribosomal RNA", at positions 354 to 796 of the family's 1533-position model. The record is from RNAcentral.
GUGAGGAAUUUUGCGCAAUGGGGGAAACCCUGACGCAGCGACGCCGCGUGGGUGAUGACGGCCUUCGGGUUGUAAAGCCCUGUCAGGGGGAACGAAAUAGACGGUACCCUCUGAGGAAGCCUCGGCUAACUACGUGCCAGCAGCCGCGGUAAGACGUAGGGGGCAAGCGUUGUCCGGAUUUAUUGGGCGUAAAGGGCUUGUAGGUGGGAUUGCAAGUCGCGGAGUAAAUUCCCCGGCUCAACUGGGGACUCAUCCAGCGAUACUGCAGUUCUUGAGAACAGGAGAGGAAAGUGGAAUUCCCGGUGUAGCGGUGAAAUGCGUAGAGAUCGGGAGGAACACCAGUGGCGAAGGCGGCUUUCUGGCCUGAUUCUGACACUGAGGAGCGAAAGCCAGGGGAGCGAACGGGAUUAGAAACCCCAGUAGUCC